CCUACGGGAGGCAGCAGUGGGGAAUAUUGGACAAUGGGCGAAAGCCUGAUCCAGCCACGUCGCGUGAAGGAUGACUGGCCUAGGCUUUUAAACCUUCUUUUAUAAGGAAGUAAGAUAUGACGGUUCUUGAAUUUGAUAUGUCCGUUAACUACGAGCCAGCAGUCGCGGUAAUACGGAGGCGGCAAGCGUUAUGCGGAAUUACUGGGUGUAAAGGGUGAGUAGGCGGCAUGGUAAGCCAGAUGUGAAAGCCUUGGGCUUAACCCGAAGAUUGCAUUUGAAACUGGCAGGCUAGAGUACAGGAGAGGUAAGCGGAAUUCGUGGUGUAGCGGUGAAAUGCGUAGAUAUUAGGAAGAACACCGAUGGCGAAGGCAGCUUACUGGACUGAAACUGACGCUGAGGCACGAAAGCGUGGGUAGCGAACAGGAUUAGAUACCCGAGUAGUC
RNAcentral lists this ribosomal RNA (443 nucleotides) under uncultured bacterium. RNAcentral describes it as "partial 16S ribosomal RNA". It matches the Rfam family "Bacterial small subunit ribosomal RNA", at positions 338 to 795 of the family's 1533-position model. The record is from RNAcentral.